AUUGAACGCUGGCGGCAUGCCUAACACAUGCAAGUCGAACGGCAGCACAGGGGAGCUUGCUCCCUGGGUGGCGAGUGGCGGACGGGUGAGUAACGCGUAGGAAUCUGCCUCAUAGAGGGGGAUAACUCGGGGAAACUCGAGCUAAUACCGCAUAAUCUCUAAGGAGCAAAGCAGGGGAUCUUCGGACCUUGCGCUAUGAGAGGAGCCUGCGUUGGAUUAGCUAGUUGGUAGGGUAAAGGCCUACCAAGGCGACGAUCCAUAACUGGUCUGAGAGGAUGACCAGUCACACUGGGACUGAGACACGGCCCAGACUCCUACGGGAGGCAGCAGUGGGGAAUAUUGGUCAAUGGGCGAGAGCCUGAACCAGCCAUGCCGCGUGCAGGAAGAAGGCCCUCUGGGUUGUAAACUGCUUUUGACAGGGGCCAAAAUACUCAUGCGUGAGGAAUUGAGAGUACCUGUAGAAUAAGCACCGGCUAACUACGUGCCAG
Molecule: ribosomal RNA, 488 nt
Filed under: uncultured bacterium
Lineage: Bacteria
Description: bacterial SSU rRNA
Rfam family: Bacterial small subunit ribosomal RNA
Source: RNAcentral